RNAcentral lists this ribosomal RNA (292 nucleotides) under uncultured bacterium. Its description in RNAcentral is "partial 16S ribosomal RNA". It matches the Rfam family "Bacterial small subunit ribosomal RNA", at positions 505 to 796 of the family's 1533-position model. The record is from RNAcentral.
GUGCCAGCAGCCGCGGUAAUACGUAGGUGGCAAGCGUUGUCCGGAAUCACUGGGCGUAAAGCGCGCGCAGGCGGCCGUUUAAGUCUGGGGUGAAAGCCCGAAGCUCAACUUCGGGACUGCCUUGGAUACUGGAUGGCUUGAGCAUUGGAGAGGCAAGGGGAAUUCCACGUGUAGCGGUGAAAUGCGUAGAGAUGUGGAGGAACACCCGUGGCGAAGGCGCCUUGCUGGCCAAUUGCUGACGCUGAGGCGCGAAAGCGUGGGGAGCAAACAGGAUUAGAUACCCUGGUAGUCC